This is a long non-coding RNA of Oncorhynchus keta (chum salmon), 295 nucleotides long. RefSeq lists it as uncharacterized. The record is from RefSeq and is a predicted model, not a curated record. The transcript has 4 exons. Lineage: Eukaryota; Metazoa; Chordata; Actinopteri; Salmoniformes; Salmonidae.
AAUAGAGGUGACGUGGGAGGACCAGCAGAGGAAGGCUAAUGGUGCUUUGAAGGAUCCAUCUAAGCUGCAGACGCUGAGAGGCUCAGACACUGCCAAAUCCUUGGACAGUGAUGUUAGCGACGUGUCCGCUAUGCCAUGUGCUUCUCGGCUCAGCAGCAUGAGCCACAUGUCUGUCCAGUCAGAGACGGCAAAGGGAAGCCACAACAUCAGUGAGGGCCAGUUGGAGGUGGGGAUUUUGGCUGAGGUGGCUGAGGAAGUAGUGGGAGGAGCAGAAGGAGGCCGAGUGGGGGCAGAG